RNAcentral lists this unclassified non-coding RNA (212 nucleotides) under Hevea brasiliensis (rubber tree). Lineage: Eukaryota; Viridiplantae; Streptophyta; Magnoliopsida; Malpighiales; Euphorbiaceae. The record is from RNAcentral.
GGCUCCUUGAAGGUGCAGAUGGAACUGUAGGAGUAGCAAGUUGGCUAUUUGCUGCUCUGCUGGCACUAUUUGUAGGACUAGCGACAUCUUUCGGAGAGGAGGACAAGGAGGACACACCAUUUUCCCACCCCGGCUUGAGAACAAAAAGCUUCCCAUGAGAUGUCUUUAGUGCAUCACCUUUGACAUGUCCCCCAAGAACAGUUUGAUUGGCA